This 465-nucleotide ribosomal RNA is filed under the name uncultured bacterium. RNAcentral's name for it is "partial 16S ribosomal RNA". It matches the Rfam family "Bacterial small subunit ribosomal RNA", at positions 28 to 507 of the family's 1533-position model. The record is from RNAcentral.
GACGAACGCUGGCGGCGUGCUUAACACAUGCAAGUCGAACGGAAAGGCCCCUUUGGGGGUACUCGAGUGGCGAACGGGUGCGUAACACGUGAGUAACCUGCCCUUGACUUCGGGAUAACUUCAGGAAACUGGGGCUAAUACCGGAUAGGAAUACUUGCUGCAUGGUGGGGGUUGGAAAGCUUCGGCGGUUUUGGAUGGACUCGCGGCUUAUCAGCUUGUUGGUGGGGUAGUGGCUUACCAAGGCUUUGACGGGUAGCCGGCCUGAGAGGGGGACCGGCCACAUUGGGACUGAGAUACGGCCCAGACUCCUACGGGAGGCAGCAGUGGGGAAUAUUGCACAAUGGGCGGAAGCCUGAUGCAGCAACGCCGCGUGCGGGAUGACGGCCUUCGGGUUGUAAACCGCUUUCAGCAGGGGCGAAGCUUGUGGUGACGGUACCUGCAGAAGAAGCACCGGCUAACUACGUG